AAAAAAAAAGAAAGAAGCCAGAGGGAAAACUAAAUGGGCUGGAGGUGAAAUGGAGUGGGGAGGUGGCGACGGUGUUGGUGGGUGGUGGGGGAGGAAAUGUGUUUGGACCUAUUCUGGCCGUCAAUACACCAAAGUUAUGCUCGAGUGCGGCUGACGACACUUCACUAGACGAGCUUUAACUGACUUCAGCUGCUCGAGCCCUGGUUCCCAACCCUUGGCUCCCCGGGAUAUGCAUAUGGCGGUCGCAUGGGAUCGCUGGCACAAGCUGGAGAGAUAGCGAUUGAUUCGUUUUAGCAAACAAAACGUUUUUUUGUUUGUUUGUUUUUUUUAUAAAAGGUCCCAUAGACGUCCGGUAUAUACAAACUGACAGCCUAAUGACUCAAAGCCACUUGUGGCUGUGAGUCCACCGGGACAUUGAUAUUACCGGCAGAUGCUUUUCAGCGCCAGGAAUUGG
Long non-coding RNA from Gadus macrocephalus (Pacific cod), 454 nucleotides. RefSeq lists it as uncharacterized. The transcript has 2 exons. The record is from RefSeq and is a predicted model, not a curated record. Lineage: Eukaryota; Metazoa; Chordata; Actinopteri; Gadiformes; Gadidae.